GGACUCAGGGAUAACAUCGAGAAAUCGGUGCUAAUACCGGAUGGUCCCGCAAGGGUAAAGCUUUUGCGGUCCGGGAGGAAUCUGCGGCCUUGUUGGUAAGGUAACGGCUUACCAAGGCUAUGACGGGUAGCUGGUCUGAGAGGACGAUCAGCCACAAUGGGACUGAGACACGGCCCAUACUCCUACGGGAGGCAGCAGUAAGGAAUAUUUCGCAAUGGGGGAAACCCUGACGAAGCAACACCGCGUGAUUGAUGACGCCCCUUGGGGUGUAAAGAUCUUUUCUGAAGGAAUAAUUCUGAAGGUACUUCAGGAAUAAGCACCGGCUAAUUACGUGCCAGCAGCCGCGGUAAUACGUAAGGUGCAAGCGUUAUCCGGAAUCAUUGGGCGUAAAGAGUUCGUAGGCGGUCUAUCAAGUCCGAUGUUAAAUAUCGAGGCUCAACCUCGAAAUGGUAUCUGAAACUGAUAAACUAGAGAGAUGCAGAGGUACGUGGAAUUCUGUAUGUAGGGGUAAAAUCCGUAGAUAUACAGAGGAACACCAAAAGCGAAGGCAGCGUACUGGGCAUUUUCUGACGCUGAGGAACGAAAGCGUGGGUAGCGAACGGGAUUAGAUACCCCGGUAGUCCACGCCGUAAACGAUGGAUACUAGAUGUUGGAGGCGUCGAACCCUCCAGUGUCUUAGCUAACGCGAUAAGUAUCCCGCCUGGGGAGUACGAGCGCAAGCUUAAAACUCAAAGGAAUAGACGGGGACCCACACAAGCGGUGGAGCAUGUGGUUUUAUUCGAUAGUAAGCGAGGAACCUUACCAAGGUUUGACAUCCCGGGAAUUCACCCGAAAGGGAGAAGUGCCGUAAGGAACCCGGUGACAGGUGCUGCAUGGUUGUCGUCAGCUCGUGCCCUGAGGUGUUCGGUUAAGUCCGUAAACGAGCGCAACCCUUAUCCUGUGUUGCAUAUCACGGGAGACUGCCUCGCAUAACGAGGAGGAAGGUAAGGAUGACGUCAAAUCAGCAUGGCCCUUAUACCUUGGGCUACACACGUGCUACAAUGGUCGGUACAAUGGGCAGCAAUGCCGAAAGGUGGAGCAAAUCUCAUCAAAACCGGCCUAAGUUCGGAUUGAGGGCUGCAACUCGCCCUCAUGAAGUUGGAAUCGCUAGUAAACGCGCAUCAGCAAUGGCGCGUUGAAUAUGUUCCUGGGUCUUGUACUCACCGCCCGUCACGUCACGAAAGGUAGAGGCACCCGAAGUACCCUUAGCAAUUUAGCGGGGUCCUAAGGUGAAAUUACUGAUUGGGACGAAGUCGUAACAAGGUA
This 1305-nucleotide ribosomal RNA is filed under the name metagenome. Its description in RNAcentral is "bacterial SSU rRNA". It matches the Rfam family "Bacterial small subunit ribosomal RNA", at positions 133 to 1498 of the family's 1533-position model. The record is from RNAcentral.